Molecule: ribosomal RNA, 1167 nt
Filed under: Triticum aestivum (bread wheat)
Lineage: Eukaryota; Viridiplantae; Streptophyta; Magnoliopsida; Poales; Poaceae
Description: partial small subunit ribosomal RNA
Source: RNAcentral
AUGGUUAAGGGGAGAAGGUCCAAGAGACGGAGGUGCCCGGUAGCUAACCUCACCGAUGACCUCAUCGUUGAGAUCCUCUCUCGCCUCCCUGCCAGAUCGGUCUGCCGCUUCAAGUGCGUGUCCACGACAUGGCGGGACCUCAUCUCGCACCCCGUGAACCGUAUGAAGCUUCCCCAGACCCUGGCUGGCUUCUUCACGAAGCACGAUAGUGAAACUGUGCCAUGGUCAGUUCCCCGCUUCACCAAUGUCUCUGGCACUGGCAGAGGCCUCCCGUUGGUCUCCCCUUUGCUUGACUUCCUGCCAGUCCACAAACGCAUUUUUCUCUUGGACAGCUGCAAUGGCCUUCUUCUCUGCAGGUGUUACGGAACCCAACUUAGUACCGGGGAAUGGGAUUUGACAGAUUACCAUCACUUUGUGUGUAAUCCCGCCACAAAGGAGUGGGUUGCACUACCGGGCAAAUGGCAGUGUUCACGUCUGGGUUUUAAUCCAACCGUGUCACCCCACUUCUACGUGUUUGAGUUCUUCAGAGACUAUGGGCACUUAGCCCCCAUGGUCAUUGGUGAGGUGUAUUCAUCUGAAACAGGAGGAUGGGUUCGUGAGGAGAAUGAAGUGGACAAUGAUUUUAGCUUUCCCCAUAGGUUGCCAGCUGUCUUCUUCAACGGUUGUAUGCAUUAUCUCACCAACAAGGCUUCUAUAGCCGUGGUGGACACCGGGGGGAAAGCUUGCCGAAACAUACCUGUCCCUGUCCCUGGCGAGCAGGAGUUCGGUUUCAUUCAGCUGUCCCAAGGACGUUUGCAUUAUGCCAAUUUUGAGGCAGACCAUGAAGACAAGGUGGUUCGACUAGUGGCUUAUGUUCUUGAGGACUACGACAGGCAACGAUGGACAUUGAAGCAUACCGCUGAAGCUCCAUAUAUACUUGGAUGGCCAAGUGGUUUAUAUGAACCUGGAUGGAAUAAUUCUAUUAAUCUCGCGGAGGAGUUUGAGUGGGUUGCAGUUCAUCCAGACUGUAACAUGAUCUUCUACACUCUUGAGUCGGAUAAAAUAUUGAUGUCCUACGAUAUGGAUCGUCGGCAUGUCCAAGAGAUAUUCACUCUUGGAGCCAGCACUCAGGAGACAUAUCUUCCGUAUGUGCCAUUGUUCUCGGAGUUACAAGCUUUGCACAUAUGA